CGCUGCGGCGUUCGCCGAACUCAACCCGCGGGUAGGACGGAGUUUAGACCAGCUGAACCUCUUGUUGGUUUUAUACUGAGUCGACGUCAUCCUGGAUUUAGUUCCUGUCACUUUGGGUCUGAAAACUACCAUAGCCGUCCCUAGGCCCUUACACAGCGGAGACCAAAUUCGUCCACUACCUUGAAAUUCGCCACCAAGGGUAGCAAUCAGAAGCGAUGGUUCCAACUGCUCCCUGCGUGGGUGUCGGUAGGUUUUGUCUUCUGUCUUCUUUUUGAAUUUUUUUUUCAAAAGCAGGGUGCCUUCUCCCUUAACUGUUUUUGUUUUCAAUCCAAAUUCGGGGGAAAAAAAGGGACUUGAGGGAUUCCCUGUCCCCUUCCCCAACAAUUGAAUCGCAUUUUCCCAUCCGACUUGCUAGCUCCGUGACAGGGCCCCCCUCGCUCCCCUCAGCUGUCCUUCCCCCGGCAGGCCCAGGCUGGGCUCCCUGGGCCCCGGCGGCCUGAACCAAGCCCGGCUCUGCUCGCGGCAGGCGGCCGCCGUGAUUUGUGGGGUCCUCGGCGCGUCACAGCCGGUCAGCCGGGGCUGCUGGAGGCACAACCAGCCCACGAUGACGGCACGCAGGCAGCCGAGCGCUCUACAGAAAGGUAGGAGAUGGUGCGCGUGGAACGAAAGCAGCCCCUGAGGUCCUUUGGGCCCGGCGCAAGCCCGGGUCUUGCAGAGCCGUCCUUUCUCGGCCCUUCGCGCAGGCAACUCUGGCCACUCCCGGGGAAGGAGCAGUGCCGGGCCCAGGCGAGUCUGCUUAGCGCCGGGGUAGCGAGGUACCUCGGGUUUCCCUAAGGAAGGCCGCCUUUAACUCACGCCCAUUUUGCGCUGUUUCAUACUGGGUAAUUAACCAAGGGUCCCACCAAGGGUGUCUGAAAUUCCCGCGGUAACGUUAAGUAUGUGGGCGGCCUCCUCCGCGGCUCUGGGGCCAAGGGGAAAGGGUGCUUGUCAAUUGCUGCUCCCGGGUCAGAGGAGCGAUUGCGCAGAAAUUUGGUACUGCCUGAGCGCAGAAGUCCGGAGGCGCGCAGCGCUGACCGAGAGAAGCUAGGCGGCGGCGCGUCUCCUCCUAGGCCUCCCCAUGUGGACCUCGGCGCCCUCAUGCCCAUUCGCUCACCUGCUCGUGACCUGAGAGCUUUGCUUCUUUGAGUGCUGAGCAAAAGUAGAAGUGGUUGUAGGGGAGAAAUUAAAGUAGGACGGAGAUGGGUCUCAAUUUGGAGAGAUGGCGGACUUUUUUUUUUUAAACAAUAAACACCACUCCCAAAGGAAGGAGUGUGACCCUCCCCUUCAGAGAGGUCAGGCUAGGGAAAGAAGUUUAUCGCCCUCGCCUUCCCUCUCUAACUAGGGAUGGAGGCUUUUUUUGUCCCCCUUUCUCCGAGACUUAAAAAUCACCAGGUCCUAGGCCACUUUCCCGAGUUUAAUUCUACAGGGCAAAUGAUGGAAGACAACUAGAGGCUGCAACUUAAGCAGGGACUCUGGCUGCGUUUCUGUCUGUGGCUGGGCGCACGCGGCGGUACGCGCACGCGCGUGUGUAUCUUUUAAGCUCUUUGAUGAACCCGGCAGAGGCAGAAGCGCGGUGGGAAACCGGCACAGAUUCCUCGUAGGUUUCUGCAAACGUACUAAGACCAGCGCCACGUGUAGACUUCAGCCGCGAGUCUAAGAGUGCCUGCGAAGUGUUGAAUAAGGCAACCUCCGCCCUUAUUUGCAACACGCUGUCUUGCCUCCUUCCACUGGGUACCUUGUUCUCUUAAUACUCAGAUUUAACAACCCCCUAGACUUUGUCCCCUCCUUUCCUCAGCCUCCCACUGUGCCAUCUGUCUUUUGGAAAGAAGAGCACUGUACAGGGAGUCUGGAGGUCAGAGUUCUAGACUGAACCUUGCCACCUUGCAUAUCAUCCCUCCUCUGGGCCUCAGUUUUGUUUUUUGUUUGUUUUUGUUUUGUUUUGUUUUUUAGUUAAGCCAAUGCCAACAUUCAUUGGGUCUCUUACAUCCCUAACAUUUAAUGAGGCUGGAUAAUUUCUGGAGAAUUCACCAAGGAGACUGAGGGUGGAAUUAACAGCAUUUUUUUAGUGCUUUUCUUUGGGACAAAGGAGUGUGCUGUCUCCAUCCCCACCUGAGGGCAGGGUCUCUGUAUCAGCAGGGUCUAAGAUGAGGAAAUGCAGUCCAGAAGCUCUGUCCUUAAAUGGGUGGCGACUUUCCGGGAAGAAGUCACAGGGACUCCGAGGCCACCCCACGCCAGUUGUUCAGUGGGCUCUAGCGAAGCUCACCCCGGUGCAGCGGGGCCUCCUCCUCCCGGUUGCCUCUCAAUCUGCAGGCGCUUCACUGUCGGUAGGCAGAAGCCACCCGCGGAAGGCGAUCAGGGGCGCUGCGCCCGCACUUCGCCUCCUCUUCGGGCCGAAACCCACAAGUGUCCACAAAGCGCUAAACAAACAAUCAGUAGCCUCGAGUUGCCCGCUGCAAUUGGAAUAACAAAUGCGACGCACGCAAAUUGCCCCCCUCGUGUUGCUAAGCGAUUGUUUGUCGCCCUGCACGCACCGCUCAGCAUGGGAGGACCAGGAGCGUCUGCAGGCGGCCGGCGAGCGCUUAGGUCGGAAAUGCAGUAAACACUCUCCUGAUUUUCCUUAUUAUCACUCAAACACGAUUUCACACAAAGCAAUCACCACGCAGAAGUCUAUGAAAAUGUAUUUGUUGAGGAGUCAGUCGCCCUGGUAAUAGCCCUCAUUUUGUAAAUAUUAAAGAAUAGAUCAGCGGAUUCCGCAUGCAUAAGGUGUAUUUGCGGUCCAGCAUCUAUCAGGACGCUUUUGCGCCGCGGUCAUCGCUAAAUUGAUUCAUAGAGCGUAGAUUAAAUUGCUUCUCUGAUUUAAAACAGAGUGCCCAAGUUUGGAGUGUGCAUCUGGGUAUCUCCUCCUGCCCGAAGAUAUUUUCAUCACGGAGAAAACCGUUGCCCCAUUAGCCUUACACACACACAUACACACAUCCAUGACUUUAAAAAAAAAAAAAAAGCAUAUGCGGCCCCAACUUCUUACGGUUCGUUCCAGGAACUUUCUUUUAUUAAUUCUUUCAGCCUCUUGACCGAUCACGGAGCAGAGUUCACAAUCGGAUGCGUUUAAGUAGGAUUUUUCGUGGCAUGUGCAAAAAGCUGGUGUGUCCUUUUCAAAGGUACAGAGCCCCCUCGCAGGGCGAAUUAGCCGAGUCCGAAGAAUUAGGAACAAUGCGCAGACCCGGCCGUGGCCAGUGCGCAGUAUAGAGACGUGCAGUCUGCACAGCGCUCAACAGGUUUAUUGUUUGUAUUUGGACUUAGAGAAAAAAAUCCAGUGUCUCAGAACAAGUGUUCAAAACCCACUUCAUCGCCCUGCUGCUCUCUCAAAGACACCUUUGGGAGCCCCAGAGGAUUUUCCGGGUGAGACUGAGUGGAUGGAGUUGAACACCACGCACAAAUGCCACCCCACUGAGGGGCAGCGCUUAGGGGGGCUGGGUCUCCCGCAUUUCAGCAGGACUUAGAGACGCUUACUAGCUGAAUUCUGCUAGAGGUUUUGGAACAUUCCAAAUAAACCCACGUAGCCCCUGAGGACAAAAUAAUCAAGGUGUUAGGAAAACUCAUAACACUGGGGGAGAAGAAGAGGGUGUCGAAAAAUGACGCAUUCCCAAGGCAUCAGGGGGAAAAAAAUAGCUCCAAUUUUCCAGGGUUGCAGAAAUCCUCUUUCAGCUGAGUUAUUUACCAAAGUUUGUUUCAAAGUGACUGCACCGUUGCUUUUGCAAAUCACAGAAUGCAAAUGACGAUAAUUUGUUCUCCGUGGAACUUUCUCUUGAAAUGAUUAGCAAAGUCAGUCAUUUGAAAAUGAGAGCGAUUGCACAGACUGUUCGCGAAGCCCCUCGCUAACCGAUAUCAGCUUCUAAAGUUUUCAUUCAUGUAAACCUCAUUAAUGAAGAUCUUUUAUUUAAACGUCAAGGGGAUUUGAAAUUUAGAGUAAAUUAUGAAGCUUGUAUGUCUAGCCAAGUCAUGGGUCAAAUGCAUUUGUGAAAAACUGCUAAAAGAGCAUAUGGUUUGGAAUUUUUCUACAAUGACUAGUGUUUAAAUAAAUUGCUUGUACUGCUUAACUUCAUGUGUAAUUUUGACAGAAAUUGGCCUAUAGCCUUUUGAUAUGUAAACAUUUCAGCCUUUUAUGCGGCAUAAAAAAGACACUUGCUUUUUAGGAUCAGCUCAGGCAGUCACCCUGUAAUUCAGAAAGCUGGCACCUACCAUUACAUUCUUGCUAGAUUUCAACUUUCAAGUGGCAGCCUCAGGGAGGAAAAAAAAA
Vicugna pacos (alpaca) is the source of this 4333-nucleotide non-coding RNA. Lineage: Eukaryota; Metazoa; Chordata; Mammalia; Artiodactyla; Camelidae. The record is from RefSeq and is a predicted model, not a curated record.